Molecule: ribosomal RNA, 456 nt
Filed under: uncultured bacterium
Lineage: Bacteria
Description: bacterial SSU rRNA
Rfam family: Bacterial small subunit ribosomal RNA
Source: RNAcentral
UACGGGAGGCAGCAGUGGGGAAUAUUGCACAAUGGGCGAAAGCCUGAUGCAGCUAUGCCGCGUGUAUGAAGAAGGCCUUAGGGUUGUAAAGUACUUUCAUCGGGGAGGAAAAACAAAACUAAUAAUUUUAUUUCUUGACGUUACCCGAAAAAGAAGCACCGGCUAACUCCGUGCCAGCAGCCGCGGUAAUACGGAGGGUGCUAGCGUUAAUCAGAAUUACUGGGCGUAAAGAGCACGUAGGUGGUUUUUUUAAGUCAGAUGUGAAAUCCCUGGGCUUAACCUAGGAACUGCAUUUUGAAACUGAAAUACUAGAGUAUCGUAGAGGGAGGUAGAAUUCUAGGUGUAGCGGUGAAAUGCGUAGAUAUCUGGAGGAAUACCUGUGGCGAAAGCGGCCUCCUAAACGAAUACUGACGCUGAGGUGCGAAAGCGUGGGGAGCAAACAGGGAUUAGACUACC